Non-coding RNA from Pelobates cultripes (western spadefoot toad), 604 nucleotides. The record is from the annotation of a GenBank genome assembly. NCBI's taxonomy places the organism in Eukaryota, Metazoa, Chordata, Amphibia, Anura, Pelobatidae.
CUUGGCGUGACAGUGCCUAGUAAUCAUAUAAUCUAGCCAUGGCACCCAUUUGUGUGAAAGCUAUCGGUCCUGUCUUGUAGUUAAUCAGUAAGAGCUUCGAUGCACCGGAUGUACAGCAUGGUUGUAGUUUUAAAACUACAAGGAUCAGCAAGGGAAGGUAGAAGAAAACUCUUUGAGUAAAACAUUUGUCCCAUCGUUUUAGAUAGAAAAUCCAACAUUCUCAGUUACUGGAGCCGCAUAUAAAACAAACAUGUUUGUGAUUACAUAUACAAUAUAAAUGCAAAUCAGGCAUAUAGUUUAUAGCAUUACUAAAAGUCAUCAAGUAAACAUACACAAUGAUGCUGAUAAAUAAGAAAAAUGUAUAGCUAAGUGUUGAUCUGCUCAGAGAGUCUACAAACCAUUAUACAUUUACUGCAACUGAAAGACUGAAAAAAACAAGUGAAAAAAGAUGCUCAACGGAACAUAAAGGACAAAAAGUGGGACAGCAUGGUGUUGUAGGAUUAUUGAAUGCUUUCUUGCAUACAUAAAUUGUCUGAUGUGUCUUCAAAUAUCUCUGGCUAUCUCCUCAUCCUCUGAUGAAGAUCUCUUUGGAAGUCAGCUACCU